This is a long non-coding RNA of Carassius gibelio (silver crucian carp), 1757 nucleotides long. RefSeq lists it as uncharacterized. The record is from RefSeq and is a predicted model, not a curated record. NCBI's taxonomy places the organism in Eukaryota, Metazoa, Chordata, Actinopteri, Cypriniformes, Cyprinidae. The transcript has 2 exons.
AUUUUUCUAUAUUAUUAAUAAUUGGAAUACAGCUGAAGAACAUUUAAUACCUGCAGAAUGCCUCCACAUGGCUGUGAUGUGUGUUUUUUUCUCAUAGUAUUGUCCACAUGUGGUCAGGUCAGAUCGGUGCUCUCUGCUCCUCGGGGAACCAUCACACAAUCAGAUCACUCUUCUGCUACAGUACCUCAGCAUCAAUAGCUGACGUGGAUUUUAGUGACUGCAAAUUAUUUCAGAUGAUUAACUGAAUGAAAUUCUCCUGGUCCUAUGCUGAAAUAUUCCAGUACAUGGUGCGUUCAAGUGACGACAUCAGUAGCUAGUCAAGUCAGCGUUUUCAUACAGGUUAUAAAUGCACUUCCUUAUUCAAGCAUUUUCUGAUGCUUGUUCACUCAAGCCAGUUGAGAUGCAGUGAAUAGCUCAGCUGCUGGGCUGUUUUAGAUGGGCUUUAACUGCCUCUUAUCUGUAGUUACAGCCCAAGUGGAUGAGGAUUUACUGUUUAGCCAUGAGGCUAUUGCUUUAAAUCAUUUUCACAACACACGCACACACUCUCAGCCCAUAAGCUAUUUACUGUUGACAGCACUGUUAAGGGCUUUUUUGUUAAAUACAAUUGCCUUAUCGAUUGUAAACAAUCUUGAAUUCUGCAUUAAUCCCCAGUUCACCUCCAUAAAACACACGAAAACACACAUGCAUCAUUGUUUAUAGACCUGUCAUUUUUUCCUCAAGUAUCACUGUAAUAUCAGCUCUUAUUUGUGUCGGUUACUGCUACAUAUAUAUAUUUAUUAAUUUAUUUAAAAAUACAAUUAAUGACAAAUUACAUAUAUUUGGUUUUAUAAUAAGCUACUUAUUAUAAGGAAGGGUGAUUUGGAUGAAAUAGUGAUUUUCAUGCUAGUUCUGUUUCUGUGUCAGAUUCACCAAUUCAGCAGAUUGUCAGUUAAAGAUGACCAAAACAUGAUGAGUACGCAACAGAUAGCAACAGUGAGUGAGCGGAGCGAUACUGAAAGGUUACAUCCCUCAUUCAUGACCCAGACAUCAUUAUCAAGUCCCCCAAUGCACACCCGAAAUAUCCCUUUCUCCAGCGCACAAAUCAGUGUAACUCUGAAAGGAAGUUUGACUGAAAUGUCAGAGAAACAUUUUCCCUCACCUUUAAAUGUCACUUCCUGCUCUUUCCUGCUGAUGUACUCGCAGAGACAUUCAGCUGUAGAUCUGAGUUUUUAGAAAGAGAGCUUUCGAACUGACUUGAUUGUAGCUGUUUUAACUUUGUUCUGUUAAGGUAGGUGGUGUUAUGAUAUGAAUGUUUAUGUGGGAUAAGGCUUUGAUAUUGUGAAGGCUGUUCUUUUCCGAUAUGAAGACACUCUCUGUAAUGAAUGCAGGAUUUCAGUCUAGGUGUCGCCAGCACAUUUCGUCAGAUGUCACAACAGUGUACGUCAUCCUGUGAUAUCCAGGGGUUGUUUUCAGUACAGGCGCCUCGGCUCACUCACAUUCAAUUUCUACGAUACCCUGGGAUUUACGUGUGUCUGUCUGAAUGUUGGUUGAGAAGUCAUCUCAAACUACUUAUAUGAUCACUUUACAUUUACGCACGAACUUACUGGAGUUUUCCCAGUGAAAAAGAUUUUCAGUAUGUUGACUGUCACAUUUUAAAUGUUUUUGGAUGCAAUGGUUGUUAAACCUGUUAAUGCCAUAUCAGAAUGAAUAUAUACAUAUUUUAUGUAUAUACUGCAUUUAUUUGUUUAAAAUAUAUAAAUAUAAACCUAUAAAUAAAA